RNAcentral lists this transfer RNA (75 nucleotides) under Chthonomonas sp. RNAcentral describes it as "tRNA-Lys". It matches the Rfam family "tRNA". Rfam says of the family: Transfer RNA (tRNA) molecules are approximately 80 nucleotides in length. Their secondary structure includes four short double-helical elements and three loops (D, anti-codon, and T loops). Further hydrogen bonds mediate the characteristic L-shaped molecular structure. tRNAs have two regions of fundamental functional importance: the anti-codon, which is responsible for specific mRNA codon recognition, and the 3' end, to which the tRNAs corresponding amino acid is attached (by aminoacyl-tRNA synthetases). tRNAs cope with the degeneracy of the genetic code in two manners: having more than one tRNA (with a specific anti-codon) for a particular amino acid; and 'wobble' base-pairing, i.e. permitting non-standard base-pairing at the 3rd anti-codon position. The record is from RNAcentral. Lineage: Bacteria; Bacillati; Armatimonadota; Chthonomonadia; Chthonomonadales; Chthonomonadaceae. RNAcentral also lists the same sequence under 1 other name.
GAGCCGGUAGCUCAGCGGUAGAGCAACGCCCUUUUAAGGCGUGGGUCCUGGGUUCGAAUCCCAGCCGGCUCACCA